Molecule: transfer RNA, 75 nt
Filed under: Camelus bactrianus (Bactrian camel)
Lineage: Eukaryota; Metazoa; Chordata; Mammalia; Artiodactyla; Camelidae
Also listed under: 3 other names
Rfam family: tRNA
About the family: Transfer RNA (tRNA) molecules are approximately 80 nucleotides in length. Their secondary structure includes four short double-helical elements and three loops (D, anti-codon, and T loops).
Source: Rfam by way of RNAcentral
GAGGGUACAGCUCAAAUGGUAGAGUGCAUGCUUUCUGCAUGCAUGAAGUCCUGGGUUCAAUCCACAUUACCUCCA